AAGAGGAAGUUGAGACUUCCACCUGGCCACUUUGGACUCCUCGUGCCUCUGAAUCAACAGGCAAAGAAGUGAGUUACAGAUCCUAACCACCCAGGAGAAAUUAGGUGGCCACUACACAAAGUGACUUUUCUGACUCUGGGGCCUGGUGUUUGCGUUUAGCUCCAUGGUGAAGAGACUCAUCUUCUGAUGGACUCCUCUCCCAUCAAGAUCAGAGGUAACGAGGAAUGGCACGCAUUUCAGUUCAUCGUUUGGUGGCUCCAGCUUGUAUAUGUGAGUUCUAGAUUAAUUUUUAUUUCUCCCACUUUACAGUCAUCUUUCCUUUCCAACUACCCUCCUUGUGGACUGCAAGCUCCAGCAUCACAAGCAAAGACAAGAACCUUGCAGAAAGAACUUAACUCCCACAAUUGCAUAGGAGGAAUCAUGAUCCUGAGAACAUAGGGUAGAUCCCUGCUUCUUCCACUUCUUGCUGUCCUCCCAUUAUUUGGCUCUAAAUGCAAACUUAGUUAUGAGAAGUACAUAGAAGAACAGGUAUAUUAAAGCCCGGGCUUUUUGACCAGAGGAUGUGGAAAAGAGGUUGCAGAGAAUUCAGAAGUAUUCUGGAGAUUGCAAAAAUGAGGGACCUAAAGAGACAGCAAGAGUGAGAACAAAGAAAAAAAUGUU
Non-coding RNA from Callithrix jacchus (white-tufted-ear marmoset), 660 nucleotides. The record is from RefSeq and is a predicted model, not a curated record. Lineage: Eukaryota; Metazoa; Chordata; Mammalia; Primates; Cebidae.